RNAcentral lists this ribosomal RNA (279 nucleotides) under uncultured bacterium. RNAcentral's name for it is "partial 16S ribosomal RNA". It matches the Rfam family "Bacterial small subunit ribosomal RNA", at positions 506 to 784 of the family's 1533-position model. The record is from RNAcentral.
UGCCAGCCGCCGCGGUAAUACGGAGGGUGCAAGCGUUGUUCGGAAUUAUUGGGCGUAAAGCGCGUGUAGGCGGUUCGUUAAGUCUGAUGUGAAAGCCCGGGGCUUAACCCCGGAAGUGCAUUGGAUACUGGUUGGCUAGAGUACGAGAGGGGGAAGUGGAAUUCCUGGUGUAGGGGUGAAAUCCGUAGAUAUCAGGAGGAACAUCGGUGGCGAAGGCGGCUUCCUGGCUCGUAACUGACGCUGAGACGCGAAAGCGUGGGUAGCAAACAGGAUUAGAUA